AGUGGGAUAGCUGGGUCAAAUGGUGGCUCCAUUUCAAGUUUUCUGAGGAAUAUCCAUACUGCUUUCCAUAGUGUUUGUACCAAUUUGCAGUCCCACCAGCAAU
This 103-nucleotide microRNA precursor is filed under the name Marmota monax (woodchuck). The record is from RNAcentral. Lineage: Eukaryota; Metazoa; Chordata; Mammalia; Rodentia; Sciuridae.